GGGGUUUUAGCUCAGUGGUAGAGCACUUGCCUAGCAAGCACAAGGCCCUGGGUUCGGUCCUCAGCUCCA
This 69-nucleotide transfer RNA is filed under the name Rattus norvegicus (Norway rat). It matches the Rfam family "tRNA". From Rfam's summary of the family: Transfer RNA (tRNA) molecules are approximately 80 nucleotides in length. Lineage: Eukaryota; Metazoa; Chordata; Mammalia; Rodentia; Muridae. The record is from Rfam by way of RNAcentral.